Molecule: long non-coding RNA, 1280 nt
Organism: Aegilops tauschii subsp. strangulata
Lineage: Eukaryota; Viridiplantae; Streptophyta; Magnoliopsida; Poales; Poaceae
Source: RefSeq, a predicted model, not a curated record
UGGAAGCGGAUGCCCGUUGGACGUCCCGACAGAAACAAGAUACCACCUGAAGGAUGGCUCCCACAUGACGGGAGGCAUGGAGUUGAUCCUUGGCGGUUUCCGACCAUCGCCUACUGUUGGGAGUUCACGAAUGUGUACACAGGCAGCUCGGUUGCGCGAUACAAAUGCUACAUGAACGAUCUAGAUAUGUUGACUCAUAAGCAGGUCGAUUGGAUGCCAUAUGAUGGCGAGUGUGAUUUCAGGAUGAACAAGAUGUGCACGCGUGACAGGAAUAUUUGGCGGGCGAGAUGCCCACUGAUAUGCUUCUAUGUUGUCGAGUGGCACUACCCAGACCGUGUCGCAAGACAAUUUGGGAGAAGGCAAGGGACACCAAGGGAUGAGAGUUAUGAGACAAACCAAUAUCUGCAUCGCAUUAGUUGAAAGAAUAACCCGGAAACUUCGACUUGGGCCAUCAAGCACUCCGAGUGGAUAGCUUUGUGGAAUCAAAGAGCGGACCUAGUGGAGAAGGAAAGAAGACUCCAUACUGAUUCAUUAUAUGAAGAGCAUCUGAAGUGGCUUGCGGGACAUUACCGGUUGAAGCUAAAGCCCGGUUGGAAGCGUUCGUAAUUGGAAGAGUUGAAUCGUGAGGGCGGGUACAUAGACUUCAAUGUACAAACGAGAUACAACGAAGGGACACAACUUGACUACGCACAAUUACACGACCGAGUGGGCAUGGAGUUAUUGCAUUGUGUUAACGAGGCUGGUGUAGCACUUGGUGAAGAUGAUGGAAGUGAAUUAACGAAGAAAUCUCUUAGGAAAACAAUGAAGAGUUUCGUGAGUCGGUUCCACAAGAUGGCAGCUAUGCUCUCUUGCCACAGAGGUAAAGCCGUCCUCACGGAUGGAGCUUCUAGUAGCCGAGACAAUAGACGGCGUCGUCGUCUUGUGUUGCAUCAGGAAGAGCAAGAGGAAGUGUAAGAGGAGCAAGAGGAAGUGCAAGAUGAGCAAGAGGAAGAGGAAGAGGAGUACAAUCAAUGUGAAGAGGAGGAGGUGCUUGGGAUGUCUGAAAUGGAUGAUGCGCCGCAGCCAUCGCAGCCCACACAAUGCACACCGCGCAGCAAAAUAGGAAGGAUGAAGAAGUGAAUUAGUUUAUAUUAGAUUCUCGCGAACUUUAGAAGUGGCGUGAACUCUAUGUUAAAUUUGCUAACUGAGACUUGUGUUAAAUUUGCUACUUGAGACCUGGAACCCCUUGAUGUUGCAUGUAACUAAUGAAUUUGGGUGUUCUGUAAAAGGGGUAGACGGCA